Molecule: ribosomal RNA, 253 nt
Filed under: uncultured bacterium
Lineage: Bacteria
Description: partial 16S ribosomal RNA
Rfam family: Bacterial small subunit ribosomal RNA
Source: RNAcentral
UACGUAGGGUGCAAGCGUUAAUCGGAAUUACUGGGCGUAAGGCGUGCGCAGGCGGUUGUGUAAGUCUGUCGUGAAAUCCCCGGGCUCAACCUGGGAAUUGCGAUGGAGACUGCACGGCUAGAGUGUGUCAGAGGGGGGUAGAAUUCCACGUGUAGCAGUGAAAUGCGUAGAUAUGUGGAGGAACACCGAUGGCGAAGGCAGCCCCCUGGGAUAACACUGGCGCUCAUGCACGAAAGCGUGGGGAGCAAACAGG